Molecule: non-coding RNA, 372 nt
Organism: Parasteatoda tepidariorum (common house spider)
Lineage: Eukaryota; Metazoa; Arthropoda; Arachnida; Araneae; Theridiidae
Source: RefSeq, a predicted model, not a curated record
UUAGUGGAGCUAAUUGUGAAGAACAAACUAAAAAUCCAUGCAUCCCUGAUCCCUGCAAAAAUAAUGGAAUUUGUAGCUCUGAUGGAGACAAAUACAAUUGUAUAUGUAAAGAGGACUUUAGUGGAACUAAUUGUGAAGAACAAACUAAGAAUCCAUGCAUCCCUGAUCCUUGUAGAAAUAAUGGAAUUUGCAAUUCUGAUGGAGACAAAUACAAUUGUACAUGCAGAGAGAAUUUUAGUGGAACUAACUGUGAAGAGCCACAAACUAAAAAUCAUUGCAUCUCUAAUCCCUGCAAAAAUAAUGGAAUUUGCAGUUCUGAUGGAGACAAAUACAAUUGUACAUGUAAAGAGAACUUUAGUGGAGCUAAUNGUG